Non-coding RNA from Ceratotherium simum simum (southern white rhinoceros), 225 nucleotides. The record is from RefSeq and is a predicted model, not a curated record. NCBI's taxonomy places the organism in Eukaryota, Metazoa, Chordata, Mammalia, Perissodactyla, Rhinocerotidae.
UUUUAUCUGCUGACUGUUAGCGCGACAAUUGGCCUUAGGCCACUACUUAUUUCCUCUAGGGCCCUUUACGCUAUUUUUAAACUCCAAAUGCUGCAGACGAAAGUAAAUACAACAAAUAACAAUGAAAUCCUCUGUGUGCUGAGGAUUCUGGAUAAGCACAGAUGGAUGUUCCUGGCUUUUCACCAGAAGUUAACUAACGGCACUCCUUUAUGGUUGUCAACAGCU